UGUGUCGUUCCCUUUCUUUCAUUGGUGCCGAAACCGGGGAGACGGGACACCCCAACUGGGCCCCGUCUUCCCCCCGACACCAGCAGCAGCUUGCCCUCGUCCUCUUUUUCCGGCGCUGGCUCCUCACACUCACCACUCCUCUCUGGCCUUUGGCUUUUACUCAGGAACUAUCAGCUUCUGGCCACAGAAGAUCCCUCACCCUCAUGUGACCUCCCCACCACACGCUGAGAUGGACCCCUCUCUCCACUGGAAAUUGUUCCUGGAAACAAUGGCCGCAGACGCCUGGCUUCUGGCACCCGUAUCCUCUUGGCACCAUUAGAAUCAACAAGUCCUCGACCUAUGGUUACAGGGAACCUUCAUUAAUUUCCAAUCUGAAGAAGUCCACAUCUACUCGUCCUUACUGUGGGGAGUCCUAUCAACCCUUUCCUCCCAGUCCUCAAGCCCUCACUCCCUUCUCCGCCCCCGUUCAGCAGGAAGCAGUCAGAGAGAAA
Manis pentadactyla (Chinese pangolin) is the source of this 491-nucleotide long non-coding RNA. RefSeq lists it as uncharacterized. The record is from RefSeq and is a predicted model, not a curated record. The transcript has 2 exons. Lineage: Eukaryota; Metazoa; Chordata; Mammalia; Pholidota; Manidae.